ACGCGGGCAAUCCGCGUGCCAGGGUGAUCGAAUGGUCUGUAUUCACUCCUGCACGCACAAACAAACCAGAUCUAUUUCUCGAAUAAGCUCUAAUCAGAUGGCUUCUGUCGUCCCACAUAGACCCGGAUGGACGACCCAGAUUGGUUUCGCAAAUAGGCUCGAUCGAACGACCAUCUGCAUGCCACAUUUCCCAGAAUGGACGAUCGAGAUUAGAAGAAGAAAGGUAUUUAAACCUCUCUUCAAACAAACCCUAACUUUAGCCAACGACAUCAAUCUAGAGAGGAAGAAGAGAAGCGGCCGGAAGGAGACCUAGCCGCCGGAGGAAUAUCGACGCCACCGUGUCGGAAUGCCGAAAAUUCUUUCCGUUCUCUCUGUUUCUCCAUCUUUAACCGUAUAACUUGUUUUUGUUUAGGGCAAAUGAGAACAACUGCGAACUGCGAGGGAGGAACGGUGGAGCUUAGUUGAGCCACCACACUGAAGGACCAAAAUCGUAGAUAAGCUUAUGUUUUUCCCCUCCUUUCCUCGAGAAACACCUACUAACCAUGAUUUAAACAGAUUUUUACCGAGAAUUAACAAAAAACGAGCUGACCAAGAGGAAGAGCCACUAGAGAAAAAGGACUAGACAGUGGAGCAGGGCAGCACCGCUGUGCCGAAACCCCAACCUGAGGCCCCGAUGAGAUGUUUUGUCUUUUUUGUUGUUUUUGGCGUAUUUUCACGCCAUUUUGACGUACGUUUCGAUCUUAGCAAGAAAACUAAGAUAUUCAAGAACCGGGAACCAUAGUGAAAAAGGGCAGU
This 795-nucleotide long non-coding RNA is filed under the name Carica papaya (papaya). Its description in RNAcentral is "long non-coding RNA (CPAP_LNC003763)". Lineage: Eukaryota; Viridiplantae; Streptophyta; Magnoliopsida; Brassicales; Caricaceae. The record is from RNAcentral.